RNAcentral lists this ribosomal RNA (460 nucleotides) under uncultured bacterium. RNAcentral describes it as "partial 16S ribosomal RNA". It matches the Rfam family "Bacterial small subunit ribosomal RNA", at positions 338 to 795 of the family's 1533-position model. The record is from RNAcentral.
CCUACGGGUGGCUGCAGUGAGGAAUAUUGGUCAAUGGACGAGAGUCUGAACCAGCCAAGUAGCGUGAAGGAUGACUGCCCUAUGGGUUGUAAACUUCUUUUAUAUGGGAAUAAAACGUUCCACGUGUGGGAUUUUGUAUGUACCAUAUGAAUAAGGAUCGGCUAACUCCGUGCCAGCAGCCGCGGUACUACGGAGGAUCCGAGCGUUAUCCGGAUUUAUUGGGUUUAAAGGGAGCGUAGGUGGAUUGUUAAGUCAGUUGUGAAAGUUUGCGGCUCAACCGGAAAAUUGCAGUGGAAACUGGCAGUCUUGAGUACAGUAGAGGUGGGCGGAAGUCGUGGUGUAGCGGUGAAAUGCUUAGAUAUCACGAAGAACUCCGAUUGCGAAGGCAGUUCACUGGACUGCAACUGACACUGAGGCUCGAAAGUGUGGGUAUCAAACAGGAUUAGAUACCCCUGUAGUC